UUCCUUUUACGUUGUUCUUUAGAGGUUUUGGGAGAGGUUCUUUCUUUGGUGUUUGAGACAGAACCUAAUGCCUCUUCUUGUGAUGGCAAGUUCUUCCUUUUACGUUGUUCUUUAGAGGUUUUGGGGGAGGUUCUUUCUUUGGUGUUUGAGACGGAACCUAAUGCCUUUUCUUGUGAUGGUGAAUUCUUCCUUUUCCGUUGAUCCUUAGAGGUUUUCGCAAAGUUGCUUUCUUUGGUGAUUGAGAAGAUAAAGCCCAAUGCCUCAGCUUAUGAUUCAUCAAUGGAUAACCUCCGUCUUUUAUCACGAUAUCUGGCUGGUAUAUUUUCCUUGUCGUUAUUUUCAUGUUUCUCUUCUAAUGCCUCCACAACAGCAAAUUCUUCUGAAGCAACCGAUGUAGGUUGUGAGACUUUCUUCUUGGUUAUAGCUCUUGGUGCAUCUCUUGCUGAAAUUGAUUUGUCAUUUUUCUCCUUUUGGUGUCUCUUUAUACAAGUCAUUAUUGGAGUCUUCUCC
RNAcentral lists this long non-coding RNA (510 nucleotides) under Solanum tuberosum (potato). RNAcentral describes it as "long non-coding RNA (STUB_LNC005767)". The record is from RNAcentral. Lineage: Eukaryota; Viridiplantae; Streptophyta; Magnoliopsida; Solanales; Solanaceae.